ACGUAGGGCGCAAGCGUUGUCCGGAAUUAUUGGGCGUAAAGAGCUCGUAGGCGGUUUGUCGCGUCUGCUGUGAAAGCCCGGGGCUCAACCCCGGGUCUGCAGUGGGUACGGGCAGACUAGAGUGCAGUAGGGGGAGACUGGAAUUCCCGUGGUGUAGGCGGUGAAAUGCGCAGAUAAUCAGGAGGAACACCGAUGGCGAAAGGCAGGUCUCUGGGCUGAUUACUGACGCUGAGGACGAAAGCAUGGGGAGCGAACAG
Molecule: ribosomal RNA, 257 nt
Filed under: uncultured bacterium
Lineage: Bacteria
Description: partial 16S ribosomal RNA
Rfam family: Bacterial small subunit ribosomal RNA
Source: RNAcentral